AAACUAACAAAAAUAAAACAUACAGACACAAGUCAGAAUAUUUUAAUUUAGAAAUACCACUGCAGUCCCUCUCUGUAGAAUUAUUUUCCAACACUUCUAAUUGAGAGUCCAAUUUUUUUUCAGAAAAUAUUUUCUAAUGUCUAAGUUCCCUUCUUAGGUAAUAUAUCUUAAUAAGAAUUCCUUAUUAUUACAUGUAAUGGGAAAAGACAGUGACUACAAGUCUUUGGAGUGACAGAAAACAUUGCUUGGACCCCUUGAAGAUCUGUGAUGAUAAAGAUUAUUCUUUUUACCUGUGUUAUUUAACAGGCUGAGGAACCCUUGAUUUGGGAACACAAGGAAUCUCUUCAGGAAACAAAAGUAUCCCAGAUGCUAGCACACCUGGUAACACAUCCAUAGAGCUGGCCUCUCACAGCAGCAUAGGUAAGCUCUUUUUGGUCUAUAUUUUAUUUUAAAAAAACUAUUUGCAAA
This is a long non-coding RNA of Junco hyemalis (dark-eyed junco), 468 nucleotides long. The record is from Ensembl. NCBI's taxonomy places the organism in Eukaryota, Metazoa, Chordata, Aves, Passeriformes, Passerellidae.